CAAAUUCAAUUAUUCUGAUUAGCGGAUUGUACCUGUUUUUCCAUGCAACCUCUGAUCAAUUAUAUUUUUUAUUUUUUUUAUUUAAUAUGUUAAUUUUCGAAAAUAUUAAUCAGCAAUUUGGUUAUUUAAUGAUGUCACAUAAAAAUGGCUUACCAUGCAGAGCCUUGUCGAUCUCGUCGCAACAAAAUUAUUUCUCUCUAUUCUAUGAAGCCAAUUUUUCUUCUUUCUUCAUUCCUUUGGCCCGAUGGAAUGGCAAACAAUCGCGCUUUUGAUUUCCCUUUAUAUUCAACUGCACAACAGCCCGUUAUAUUGACAAAAAAUUGCAAUAAUUACACUUUGUUAACUAUAUAGAAUGCACUGACAUAUACACACACGGCUUUCUUUGCACAAAAAUGGCGGAAAGGCGAUCACGUGAUACAGAGCAGUCUAUGGGAGCGCUAGAUUGUCGGCAAAUGCACCGGAAAAGCGUGUCGCU
Molecule: long non-coding RNA, 475 nt
Filed under: Androctonus crassicauda
Lineage: Eukaryota; Metazoa; Arthropoda; Arachnida; Scorpiones; Buthidae
Source: RNAcentral